RNAcentral lists this ribosomal RNA (402 nucleotides) under uncultured bacterium. RNAcentral's name for it is "partial 16S ribosomal RNA". It matches the Rfam family "Bacterial small subunit ribosomal RNA", at positions 355 to 774 of the family's 1533-position model. The record is from RNAcentral. RNAcentral also lists the same sequence under 1 other name.
UGGGGAAUAUUGGACAAUGGGCGAAAGCCUGAUCCAGCAAUGCCGCGUGAGUGAUGAAGGCCCUAGGGUUGUAAAGCUCUUUUACCCGGGAAGAUAAUGACUGUACCGGGAGAAUAAGCCCCGGCUAACUCCGUGCCAGCAGCCGCGGUAAUACGGAGGGGGCUAGCGUUGUUCGGAAUUACUGGGCGUAAAGCGCACGUAGGCGGCUUUGUAAGUCAGAGGUGAAAGCCUGGAGCUCAACUCCAGAACUGCCUUUGAGACUGCAUCGCUUGAAUCCAGGAGAGGUCAGUGGAAUUCCGAGUGUAGAGGUGAAAUUCGUAGAUAUUCGGAAGAACACCAGUGGCGAAGGCGGCUGACUGGACUGGUAUUGACGCUGAGGUGCGAAAGCGUGGGGAGCAAACA